This is a long non-coding RNA of Lathyrus oleraceus (garden pea), 686 nucleotides long. RefSeq lists it as uncharacterized. The transcript is spliced from 2 exons. NCBI's taxonomy places the organism in Eukaryota, Viridiplantae, Streptophyta, Magnoliopsida, Fabales, Fabaceae. The record is from RefSeq and is a predicted model, not a curated record.
ACGAUGAAAAAGGAAGAGAAAAGUUCUCUUCUUCCUCAAAGAGAGAAAACACAAUGAACAUCAAGAAAAAACAUGGAGAACAAACAACAAUCCAGUUCCUUAGAUCCUACUCGAAUUAACAAACCUUCAACAUCAAAUUAUCAACCUAACAUACAAAUUUCAAAAUAAACCUAACAUACAAAAUUUUAACACUACAAAUUCACAGUCAUGUGUCUGAAUCGAAACCCACAGUGUUCCAAAUCCUAACAUACAAAUUUCAAAAUAAACCUAAAUUAAACAUGCUCUUUACUCAUGAGCACACAUAGAUAUAAUAUUCAACACGAAUCCGGAAGAAAAUGGAAAGAAUAGUGAAGAAAAUUAUCAACCUGAGCGAAACAACACUGCAACGGCAAUGACGCUACUUCAGAUUCAUUAUGGUGGAAAUAGCUUGGAGAUGAAGACACAAGACUAGAAGCAUGGUGGUGGUUUUGGGCAAGACUUGAAUUGAAGUUUGAUGGAAAACUUUGAUGACUUGUAAAUUCAUGGUCUAUACUUAAAUGUGUUUUUUUGUUUGUUUUUAAUGUGUAAAUUCAAAUUUACAUCAAUUUAGAGCAUAAUAGAAUUUUCUUCAAAUCUUAGACAAUGCAAAAUGAAUGUAAAGGAAAAAAUGUGUUAUGCUUGGAUUUCAAAUUAAAGUUUAGACAAAA